GGGAAUAUUGGACAAUGGGGGCAACCCUGAUCCAGCCAUGCCGCGUGUGUGAAGAAGGCCUUUUGGUUGUAAAGCACUUUAAGCAGAUGAAGAAGACUCCGUGGAUUAAUACCCACGGCACGUAUGACAUUAGCUGCAGAAUAAGCACCGGCUAACUCUGUGCCAGCAGCCGCGGUAAUACAGAGGGUGCAAGCGUUAAUCGGAAUUACUGGGCGUAAAGCGAGCGUAGGUGGCUUGAUAAGUCAGAUGUGAAAUCCCCGGGCUUAACCUGGGAACUGCAUCUGAUACUGUUAGGCUAGAAUAGGUGAGAGGAAGGUAGAAUUCCAGGUGUAGCGGUGAAAUGCGUAGAGAUCUGGAGGAAUACCGAUGGCGAAGGCAGCCUUCUGGCAUCAUAUUGACACUGAGGUUCGAAAGCGUGGGUAGCAAACAGGAUUAGAUACCCUGGUAGUCCACGCCGUAAACGAUGUCUACUAGUCGUUGGGUCCCUUGAGGACUUAGUGACGCAGCUAACGCAAUAAGUAGACCGCCUGGGGAGUACGGCCGCAAGGUUAAAACUCAAAUGAAUUGACGGGGGCCCGCACAAGCGGUGGAGCAUGUGGUUUAAUUCGAUGCAACGCGAAGAACCUUACCUGGUCUUGACAUAUCUAGAAUCCUGCAGAGAUGCGGGAGUGCCUUCGGGAAUUAGAAUACAGGUGCUGCAUGGCUGUCGUCAGCUCGUGUCGUGAGAUGUUGGGUUAAGUCCCGCAACGAGCGCAACCCUUGUCCUUAGUUACCAGCGGGUUAAGCCGGGAACUCUAAGGAUACUGCCAGUGACAAACUGGAGGAAGGCGGGGACGACGUCAAGUCAUCAUGGCCCUUACGACCAGGGCUACACACGUGCUACAAUGGUAGGUACAGAGGGCAGCUACACAGCGAUGUGAUGCGAAUCUCAAAAAGCCUAUCGUAGUCCAGAUUGGAGUCUGCAACUCGACUCCAUGAAGUAGGAAUCGCUAGUAAUCGCGGAUCAGAAUGCCGCGGUGAAUACGUUCCCGGGCCUUGUACACACCGCCCGUCACACCAUGGGAGUUGAUUGCACCAGAAGUGGAUAGCYUAACCKUMRGGAAGGCGUUCACCACGGUGUGGUUGAUGACUGGGGUGAAGUCGUAACAAGGUAACCAAR
This 1159-nucleotide ribosomal RNA is filed under the name uncultured Psychrobacter sp. Its description in RNAcentral is "bacterial SSU rRNA". It matches the Rfam family "Bacterial small subunit ribosomal RNA", at positions 357 to 1504 of the family's 1533-position model. Lineage: Bacteria; Pseudomonadati; Pseudomonadota; Gammaproteobacteria; Moraxellales; Moraxellaceae. The record is from RNAcentral.